This 403-nucleotide ribosomal RNA is filed under the name bacterium. RNAcentral's name for it is "partial 16S ribosomal RNA". It matches the Rfam family "Bacterial small subunit ribosomal RNA", at positions 355 to 776 of the family's 1533-position model. The record is from RNAcentral.
UGGGGAAUAUUGCACAAUGGGGGAAACCCUGAUGCAGCGACGCCGCGUGAACGAAGAAGGUAUUCGUAUCGUAAAGUUCUGUCCUAUGGGAAGAUAAUGACAGUACCAUAGAAGAAAGCUCCGGCUAAAUACGUGCCAGCAGCCGCGGUAAUACGUAUGGAGCGAGCGUUGUCCGGAAUUAUUGGGCGUAAAGGGUACGCAGGCGGUUUAAUAAGUCGAAUGUUAAAGAUCGGGGCUCAACCCCGCAAAGCAUUGGAAGCUGAUAAACUUGAGUAGUGGAGAGGAAAGUGGAAUUCCUAGUGUAGUGGUGAAAUACGUAGAUAUUAGGAGGAAUACCAGUAGCGAAGGCGACUUUCUGGACACAAACUGACGCUGAGGUACGAAAGCGUGGGGAGCAAACAGG